This 406-nucleotide ribosomal RNA is filed under the name uncultured bacterium. Its description in RNAcentral is "partial 16S ribosomal RNA". It matches the Rfam family "Bacterial small subunit ribosomal RNA", at positions 30 to 526 of the family's 1533-position model. The record is from RNAcentral.
AUUGAACGCUGGCGGCAGGCCUAACACAUGCAAGUCGAGCGAGCGGCAGACGGGUGAGUAAUGUCUGGGACACUGCCUGAUGGAGGUGGAUAACUACUGGAAACGGUAGCUAAUACCGCAUACCAUCAGCAUUGCCCAGAUGGGAUUAGCUUGUUGGUGGGGGAACGGCUCACCCAGGCGACGAUCCCUAGCUGGUCUGAGUGGAUGACCAGCCACAUUGGAACUGAGACACGGUCCAGACUCCUACGGGAGGCAGCAGUGGGGAAUAUUGCACAAUGGGCGCAAGCCUGAUGCAGCCAUGCCGCGUGUAUGAAGAAGGCCUUCGGGUUGUAAAGCACUUUCAGCGGGGAGGCGUUACCCGCAGAAGAAGCACCGGCUAACUCCGUGCCAGCAGCCGCGGUAAUUC